GAUUUUGAGGAUCCAACAACUUCAUUAUUUCUUCUUUUUCAUCAUCUCUACCACAAACAUCAGACUCGUCCACCAAAGAAGUUGCAGGCGUUCUUUGAAAUGCCUUUUCUCCUUCAGAGUUUUCUUUCAGACCCAGAAUCUGUUUUUGGUUCAGUAGGUUGUCUAGUCUCCCAAGGAUCUCCUCUAGCUUUGACUGCGCCCCAUCUUUGAAAGGAUUCAAAGAAGAGAAAAAGCUACUAACCUGCUUCAUAUUAGUAGUUUGAUAUUCUGAUUCAAUCUUGUUCCGAAGAGCUUCAGUAGAGAUCUCGUCCAGGAGGUCCUCGGCAUCAUAAACAGCAUCUUUGAGCUCAUCGGUCCAACUUUUGACAUUUGGGUUGGCAAUCUGCUUAUUUUCAGCAUCAUCCAACACUGCUUUCACCGACAUCAAGGUUGGCUUGAGUUUGUUCAGCAGCACAGCUUCAAGUUUCUUUCCUUUGAUAAGCCUCAGAACAUCGGCAGAAACAAUCCUAUCAAGCAGCACCUCAAUGGAAGCAGAGAGAAAAGCUUCACCCACCAAAGCCAUGUUUUUUUGUGGGGUUUUUUGGUAAAGAAAGGUUUAAAGGAAGAUGAAAAGGGAAGUAAUAACAAAGAAAGGAAAAGAAGAGUGCUUCAACUAAAGAGAAGACACGGUUGCAAAGAUGAAGGAUUUGAAUUUGAAACAGAGAAAGGAACAGUAGAAGGAUUGGAUGAAAGGGGAAGGCUUUAACUCGCAAAUACUUUAGUUUCAAUAAAGAUGAAGCAGCCUCAUCCAAUUUGUGUAUAAAAUUUCUUUAUUGGAAUGUUUGAAAACAUGAUUUUGGGUUGAAAAUUUUAAAUUUUUUUUAUAACGUAUAAAAAGUAUGGAAAAUUAAUGUAUUACACAAAUGAUGAAAUAAUAUGGAAAACAAUAUAAUAAUAUAAAAAUAUUUUGAAAUUUAUAUUUACAAAUUAAGUAAAAGUAUUAUGGAGCUCUUUCUACUAAAAGUUAGAUUCGUAAUUUAUUUUUUAUUUAAAAAAAAGGGUAAAUUAAUCUCCGUACAUUAAAUUAAGAGUAAAAUAAUUAUUUUGUUAAAAUUUUUAUCCAUUUAAAUUAUUAAAAAUCGGUCCUAGUAUAUCAAUUUUUAACAGUACAAAUGGAUGAAAUUUUUAACAAAAAAGGAUCAAUUGGUUCUUUGAUCUAACGUAUAAGAACUAAUUUACUCAUCUUAUAGUGAAUGAGAUAAAAUAAAAUCUAACUCUUAAUAUAGAGAGCUCCAUAAUAUUUUACCGUGCAAAUUAUAUAUUAACAUAUCAAAGAAAUUUAUAUAAAUAUAAAAAUACGAUACAUAUCCAUAAAUUGUUAGAUCUAAUUAUAAUAGCCAAGUAGUUUAAAAUAAAUAAAUAUCAGAAUAGAGAAAUGAGAUUAAUAUUCACGAAACUAGAUAAAAGGAACAGUAAAUAAUUGGUGCUGCCUAACUAAUUGACGGCACCCUCUUAUUUAAAUUGAUGAUACCUAUAUUUCAAACCAAAAUACGAAUUUAUUUUAAAAGGAUAAUAAAUAAAACGAAAUAAUAAUAAUUUUUUAUUCCCAGAUGGCACCCUAUUAUUUUUAAAAGAAAAAUUGUUUUUUGUACUCUCCUUAUGUAUAUCCAUAAGGAACCCCCAUAAGCCAUAAGCCAUUAAAUGCUUCCAUCGAGUAACCAGUUCAUGACAAAGGACACCCACCGAGGACAGUGUAGCCAUAAAGCCCCAAAGCUCCAACCCACUAUGAAAUAUCCAACGCCAAUGAAGCACCAAUCACACGCCAAUCCAACAUAUUUACGAACACCCAACUCGUCAACACAUUCACCCCUAAAGCACAAAACGAGACAUAGGCUAACACCCUAGUCUUCAACUGGCUUUGCAAGAACCUUUGUAAUGGGAACUGAAACGCAAAGCUAAAGUGCAUAGGUAUCAACCAAAUCGCCACCACCCCCGACAUCUCCCCCACGUCGUCCAGCUGUCCGAAUAGCUUUAAAACCGGGGUAGCAAAUACGUAAAUGGGUAACAACAAAAGAGUAAAACGAUCCAUGAUCUUUGCAUGUAAAGGCCCAACAUGUGGUAUUGUUUAGCACCAAAAGCUUGUCCACAAAGGGUUUCUAAAGCACUCGCCAUUCCUAAUUAUAGUAAAGUGAAAAAAGAAAACUAAUGUUAAGAGACAAAUAUGGUAAAAAGAAAACUAAUGGAACAAAAAAGAAAGCCUGAUCUAAUGAAAAUUUACUAUGAGGCCAAAGUUGAAGCCAACGAUGGCCGUAUUGGCUAUUGAAAUAGCUGCAAGUUGAACAUCACCAAGGUGACCAGCAAAAGCUUGGGUUAUAAUGUUCAUGGAGUAAGAAGCAACAGGAAUGAUGAUUGAAGGUCCUACGAUGACCCAUAGCUUCUUUGUUUUGAUCCAUAGUCUUGUACUUAAGUCCUUCUUCGCCAUCUUCAUCUCUCCAUAUAUUUUCUUCUGGUUUUGAUUCUUCAUGAUUUGAACUUGGUUCUGUUAGUAAAGGUUGAUGGUAUUCGCCACUGUUCCCAUGGAUACUAUCCAUUAGAGACAAAAUUAAAAUAAUAGACUAUGGGCUAUCUUAGAUUUGCUUGGGACAAAAAAUAAUUUAAAAAAUUAAUAAUAAUAGGGUGCGCCAGACAAGUUGCAACCACUAAUAAAAAGAUAAUUUUUUUUCGAUUUAUUCCACAUUGUAAAAACUUUUGUAUUUUGGUUUGAAAUACAGAUGCCGCUAAUUCAUCAGGCUAAUUCAUCAGGCUGCGUCUAAAUAUUUAAAAAAAAAAUAAAGGGGUGCCAUCGAUUGGUAAGCGGUAUCAAUUGUUUACUGUUCUCUUUGUCCGUAAAUAUUAAUCUUCUUAUCUUAUUCUGGUAUUUAUUUAUUUCUUUUAUAUCAUUUAUAUAAAAAUACCCUAUAGUAUCUGAACUUGAUUAGAGGUGCAGGAACAAGAGCAGCACUAGUAACCAAGAAAUACACCAAUACCCAGAUUAGAGGUGAUCUUGGCCUGGCCGGGCUGAGCCUCAAUAGAAUUUUAGGUCCAUUUUUUAGGCAACUUGAAAAUGGACUUAAAAUUUUGCCCAAAUAAAAAUGCUAAUAUCUAAGCCUAGCCCGACCGCCAGUAUUAAAAUUUUUAUAUUAUUAUUUUUAUAUAAAACAAAUUUAAAAAUAUAAUACACUAAAAAUAUUUAAAUAAAUAUUUCUCAACAAAUUAAAAAUAAAUUAAAAAGUAUAUACAUACUUAAAUAACACUAAAAUAGGUGUAAUUUAGCAAGCAAAUGCCUAUAAAAUAAUAGCAAAAUUAACAAUAAAACGAGAGUUAUACAAUAUUCAAAUAAUAUCAAUAAAAUAGUCACAAUAUAAUAGCGAAAUGACAACAAAACAUUGGUAAAAUAGAAUCAGUUAUUUUUUGCAAAUUUAGGCCAGGCAAAAAAAACUUACCCAAAACCUAACUCAUUUAGAAAACAAGUCUCAUUUUUUGCUCAAGCUCAUUUUGUGGAUCUGUAUUUUUCUCAAAUUUUCCCACCUUUUAUACGAGCCUUUAUGCCAGGCCAAAUGACCUAACCCAUAAUCAAAUCUAAGACCAAGUGAGUAAGCAAAUGUAGUUCAGAUAUUUUAGCACAUUAUAAAAAAUUUACUUUUUAAGGCAAUGUUUAAAACAUAAAGUUUACUAUUGAAAUUGAAACAUGUUUAAAAUAAAAAUUAUCGUUUUAUAAAUAAAAGUAUCAUGAAAACCGAUUAAAAUAUUCAUAAAAGUCAAUUUUUUUUUAAAAAAAAGUACCUGAUUAGGCCUGGCACACGGCCGUGUGGCGUUAAUAGUCAUGUUUUUCUGCAUCUAAAAUUCACAAAAACUUGGGUUUUCAGUACGCAGAUGAAGCAAUUUUGAAGCAAGAGCAAUGUAAAAGACUCCCGAAGCCUAAAGCGACCAUUCAAUAACACAAGACCUUAUAACAGAAAAAGAAUACCCAAUUAUGCAUAGAAAACUAUGUCCAAAGUUUUGACACAAAACCUUCAACAAUUCCAGACUUACCAACAAAAUCAACAGUGAUUACUCGAGUUAUUGCACUGAGGAUCGUUGCUUUUGAUAUCCUCGCCUAAAAAGAAACCAAACGGUCCCUUAAAAGAAGGUUUAAACAAUUUGAGUUGGAAACGACUCCGACAAAAACGAAUGAACUACCGUAUAACAAAAGUUCUAUGAUUAACGAAAUUCACACAAUUGAUGUAAUUGGUAGUAAGGACACGCGUACUUACCUGACAAUAGUAGCAAACAAAAUGUGCAGACCAAGCAACAAUUGGAUGAAGAAAAGAAGGAAAAAAGAACAAAAAGAAAUAGAUGAAAAAAAAAAAGAAAGAAGAAAAGGAAAAAAUGGCAAUGGAAAGGAAGAGGGAACGCUUAAUAAUCUAACCAUCGAUCAAAAUUCUGACAUUACGCAAAAACAUUACCUAAUGCAUACGCUGAGACUCAAACACAGGACCAGAAAGUAGACAGAUGCUUAACCAGUGAACCAGCAGGCUCGUUCUUGACUUAAAAAAAUAGAACGUCGAUAAUGACAAUAUAUCAUAAAGAAAAGAAAAAGAAAAAUAAAGAACACAUAGAAUUUUAAGUAGAAACCCUUUUGGGAAAAAAACACAGGUAAAGGAGAAGAUAAUUCACUAUAUCGAAUUCAAAUGACUAUAAGAGGAGUAGACUAUGUCUAUUUAUAGGCUUGUAAAACCAUAUUAUAAUACAAUGAGUGUAGUAAGGUUGAAACACCUUAUUCUAAUCAAUAUCGAAUAUAUGAAGUGUAAUAAGGUUGAAAAAGCUUAUUCUAAAAUAAAAUAAAAGAAGUCAUGUAGUUCUAUAUGGAUUUUACUUUUAUUUUAUUUUACCACUGUAUUUUACUUUAACAAGGAUUCGAGUCACUCAAUUCUAACAAUCUCCACCUUGACACAAAACGAUAACAUAAGUUACUAGAAUGUAACAUUUCAAACAUAAGUGACUAAAAUGUAAUCUGAGGAAAAUAAAAGUGACUAUUUUUGCCGUUUAUCCUAUUAUUAAUUAUUUUUUAUUUAAAAUUUAAUUUAAUUAGAAUUAAAUUAAAAUAUAAUUUUUUUAGCAAAAUUUGAUUAAUAACUUAUCCCUAAUAAUUAUUUUUGAUGUGUGUAUUUAACGUUGAAAACCUUAAUUUUCCCUAUUAAUUACUUUACUAUGAUUUAAGUCGUGAAUACCCCAACGUUAAGUUACAACCAUCAUCUUUUCACCAUCAUAAUUCAUUUGGAUGCCAAUCAACUACAACUUACAGAAAAAGCAAAAUUAAACAUAACUUCCUCAUCUACUUCUACCAAACUUACAAAUCACACUUUUUGUUUCAUGUCUAUCCAAAUAUGACUGCAAUACCACCCUCUGCACUUCUUCUUUUCUCACUCACUGCCCCUUCUAUAUCAUCACUUCACCCCCAAUUUCAAUGACAGGGAUGUGGGAAAUGUUGGCCCAAUCUUUGCCUUUCUCCUUUUUACAACGUUCCUCCAGCAAAGGACAGUUCCUAAUUUCCAAACAAGAAAGAGAGGGAGGGAGCAUGUUUGGGGGCAUGGAUUGGAGCUUGGGACAGCUGCGGAUAUUCAAUUCGCAAAGAGAGGUGAGGUGUUGAAACCCCUUAUACUCCAAACCCUUUAGAUUUGGAAGACCCCAGAUCCAGAGAGUUUCAAGAGAAGAGGGAAGCAGAUGUUCGUCUGGAAAACACUCCAUCCCUACUUCUGAAACCCCGAUAUAGAAAUAUGUAAGAGAAGGGAGUGUAUGCAAACUCCAUUCCCUUUUCCUAAUCAAGCUCUCAAUUAGUUUAUCACUUCCUCCGAUUCUAAUUUCUUUUAAUUUGGAGGGCAAACCCUCUUUUGGAACCCUCUCUAUUUCUGGACAACCAUCUAUUAACAACAACUCGAGGGAAAGAAAGACAGAGUGCAUUUGCUCUGGCAAUGACUUUAGACUUUUGCAACUCCAAAGCUCAAGUCGGGUCAAAUUGGUGACAACUAAUCCAUCUUCAAUUUGAAGAGAUAUCAAAUUUUGGCACCACCAUAUUUCCAAAGAAUUGAGACAUGUUAGAUGCUGGUGGUGAGAGCCCUCUAAAGCUGCACUAAUAAACUUCAAGUCUUCACAUCUAGAAAUAUCAACAUGCUUUAGCAUAGGAAACGAUCCUAAUGGGAAAGAUUCCAGUUGACCAAACUUCGUAUCUUCUAUCUCCAAAGAUUCAAGGGAUGUAUACAAGAAGAUUUUGGAAUGAUCAAAAGCUUUGCACUGCUCGAUCCUCAAUUGUUUCAAUGCAAUAGACACACUACCUUCAAGAAGGGAUUUGAUAUCAAGACAAUUGAGAUAAUUAACUUGUCGAGAUGAGUGCAGUGUUGCAACAUCUGUUCCAAUAUGGAAUCAUUCAUAUUCGAACCUCCAAUUUCCAACUCUCGAAGCCCACAAGGCAAUGGCUCCAAUUGCAAUGCGUUGCAUUUCUUUAACUGAAGUUCACAAAUGCUUGGUGUCCUUGGGAGAAAACAUUCAAGCUUCUCACAAUUUGCAAUCACCAAUUUCUUUAAAGAGGGGAGGUGUUUAGGUAUAGACUUGAUUAGCUUUGGACAACCCCUGAUGCGUAGCUCUUGCAGAAGGGAGAAAACUAGCAAGGUCAUACAAUGUUGAUUUUAAAAAGAUAGUUUGGAAGCUAUUAAAGCUAUCCAAGAUUCAAUUGCAACGCCUUCUCUUGUCCAUUACUGUAGAACUCCUCACCAACCAUUACAACUUCGCUGAACCCAGAAAUGGAGAGAGAUUUCAAAGAUGAUAAUUGGCCAAGCGGAGGCAAAGAUAUGCAAAAUUUACAAUCUUGCAACUCCAAAGAUACCAUAUUUGAGAAGAAAAAAUGCCCCACCCAUUCUGGAAAUCUCGUGCCUUUGUAACUUUCAAUAACUAGAUGCUUCAAGUUUGUAUUAGGCUCCAAUUGUUCCAAUACUUCUCUAUCAUGCUUUGAGUCACCAUCAAUAUCAUCAUAUUCACCCCAUGUCAACUUCAACUCCUUAACAUUAACCUUAUCCUUCAAAUUGGCAUCUUUGGCAUCCCUGGCAUAUACAACAUUUUUCAGUCUUGAAAUGGCAAGUCUUCCCCGUAAAUGCUUGAGCUUUCCCAACUCAUUAAUGCUUGAACCAGUUUGAUCACCUAUAACAAAAUCUGUUAAGAUUCGAAUAUCUUUCAACUUACCCAUCCCUUCUGGCAUCCCAGUUAACUUUGCUCCCCUAAUAUCAAGAUAAAGCAUGUUGAUCAAUCUCCCCAUGUCUCUCGGCAACUCAACAAGGCCACUGCAUCCAUUGAAUGUCAAUGCUUGCAAAUUAUACAAUGUACACAGAGAAUUUGGCAACCUUGUGAUUGAAGUUUUUGAGAGAUUCAAAUUUCGUAGAUGCUUCAAGUUACUAAUUUCUUUUGGCAAUUCUUUGAUAUUGACAUACCCAGCCAAAGAAAGCACUCGUAAGCUUGAUUUCAUCAACAAAUCAUGCAUUAGCACAUUGCUAACAAAGCAAUAGUAAGAACUCACAUUUAGGAAAGCACGCAGACGUUUUGCUUCAGGUAAGUUCUGAAAUUUUUGUCGCACAUCAUAAAAUUCUUGGACAUUGGACAAAUGACGAGUCCUUUCGAUUAUUUCACAAGAAUCACCAUUACCUUCCAAUCUGCAAAUAAACCCUCCAGCGAUAGAUUUAGCCAAAUCACUGAUUAGAUCAUGCAUGACAAAACUAGAUUUCUUUCCAUUCGAUUGCUGAAAAAAUGACCUCAAUCUUAUAUCUUCAAAAUAGUCAUCACCUCGUUCUUCCACAUCACCAUGGUCAUUUGGAAGCUCUAAAAGACCUUCAGCCAUCCAUAACUGAAUUAGUUCUUCCUUCUCAAAUUCGUAAUCUUUAGGGAAAAUUGAACAAUAAACAAAACAUCGCUUUAAAUGUGAAGGAAGAUAAUAAUAACUCAAUUUCAAUGCGGGAAGAAUAUCAUUUGGUAGGUCCCAAAAAUUGCUAUGUAAUAUUUUGUUCCAUUUAGCAGCGUCUAGAUUACAACGCAGAAGACCUCCUAGAGUUUUUGCAGCCAGAGGGAGGCUGUCACAUCUUUUGACAAUUGCUUUACCGAUUGCCAUCAGAUCUGGAUGCAUGCUUGGGAUUGUACCAACGAAUGCAUGCUUUGCAAAUAGCUCCCAACAGUCAUCAUUUGAUAAGGUCUGUAGAGGAUAACUUGGAACAGUCUUCAUAAUGGAGGCAACACUUUCAUGACGUGUUGUUACAAUAAUCUUGCUGUUUUGUGCCCCAAAACUGAAAGGAAUUCUGAGCUCAUCCCAAUCAGCAGACCUUAAGUUCCAAACAUCGUCUAAAACCAAUAGAAAUUUCUUUCCCGACAAUUUGUGACUGAGUUGAAGUUGAAGCUGAUUUAAGCUCUGACUAUCAUCAUAACCACCAGGGAGCUCUUGGAGGAUGGCUUUAGUUACUUUGAAAGGAUCGGAUUCUUCCGAAACACACACCCAUGCUUUGGGCUCAAACCAUUCGGCCACUUUCUGGUCAUUAUAGAUCAAUCGUGCGAGCGUGGUUUUGCCAAGCCCGCCCAUACCCACAAUGGGAAUCACAUCUACCUUAUCAUCAGCGGACAGAUUUUGACGGUGCAGCAACUCCAUUAUAUCUUCUUUUUCACCAUCUCUGCCAUAAACACCAGACUCGUCCACCAAAGAAGAAGUUGCACGUGAUCUCCGAUACUCCUUUUCUGCUCCAGAAAUUCCUUCCAAUUUCAGGGUAUCUUUCUGGCUGACUAUAUAUUCUAGUCUCCCAAGGAUCUCCUCCAGCUUUGACUGCAUCUCAUCUUUGAAAGGAUUGAAACAAGAGAAAAUGCUACUAACCUGCUUCAUAGCAGUGGUUUGAUAUUCGGAUUCGAUCUUGUUCCGAAGAGCUUCGGUAGAGAUCUCGUCCAGGAGGUCCUCGGCAUCAUAAACAGCAUCUUUGAGCUCAUCAAUCCAACUUUUGACAUUUGGGC
This 9027-nucleotide long non-coding RNA is filed under the name Gossypium raimondii (Peruvian cotton). RNAcentral describes it as "long non-coding RNA (GRAI_LNC007294)". Lineage: Eukaryota; Viridiplantae; Streptophyta; Magnoliopsida; Malvales; Malvaceae. The record is from RNAcentral.